UACGAGAGGCCCAAACGUUAUUCGGAAUUACUGGGCUUAAAGAGUCCGUAGGCGGCGCAGAAAGUAGGGUGUGAAAGCCCUCGGCUUAACCGAGGAAUUGCGCUCUAAACUACUGUGCUUGAGGAACCUAGAGGUGAGCGGAACUGAUGGUGGAGCGGUGAAAUGCGUUGAUAUCAUCAGGAACACCGGAGGCGAAGGCGGCUCACUGGGGGUUAUCUGACGCUGAGGGACGAAAGCCAGGGGAGCGAAAGGG
Molecule: ribosomal RNA, 253 nt
Filed under: uncultured bacterium
Lineage: Bacteria
Description: partial 16S ribosomal RNA
Rfam family: Bacterial small subunit ribosomal RNA
Source: RNAcentral